UACGUAGGGGGCUAGCGUUAUCCGGAUUUACUGGGUGUAAAGGGAGCGUAGACGGCCUUGCAAGUCUGGUGUGAAAGCCCGGGGCUCAACCCCGGGACUGCAUUGGAAACUGCAUGGCUGGAGUGCAGGAGAGGUAAGCGGAAUUCCUAGUGUAGCGGUGAAAUGCGUAGAUAUUAGGAGGAACACCAGUGGCGAAGGCGGCUUACUGGACUGUAACUGACGUUGAGGCUCGAAAGCGUGGGGAGCAAACAGG
This 253-nucleotide ribosomal RNA is filed under the name uncultured bacterium. Its description in RNAcentral is "partial 16S ribosomal RNA". It matches the Rfam family "Bacterial small subunit ribosomal RNA", at positions 524 to 776 of the family's 1533-position model. The record is from RNAcentral.